CCCGGUAGGUUUUCCGGGUGGGAGGAGUCGUCCAGGCGGGACAUAAAAGCCUGACGGACCAAGUUCCUCGUUCACUUCCUUCUCUGGUCUCUACGAGGUGGUGUGAGAACCAGGAACUAUUUCCCGCAAAGGUGGGACUUGUGAACACCACAUAGGUAAUUACAUUUUUAUUUUAUUUAGGGUUUUUAGUUGGUUCCAUAGUUGCUUAGCUACGCCUUGUUGCCGAUCAGCCAUUAAUUGGCUCUGUGGCUCGAGGAGCUCAGUGUUGCAGUGAUGAUUCUCUGAACUCUCUCUUACCGAAUCAGCCUUUGAAGAAAGUUCUUUACCAGAUUCUGAGUAUCAUGAGCUCCACCUAAUGCCCUGUGUAUUAAAUAUUCUGUUAAUGGUGAACAAUGAAAUGUGAAAUGAUCUUGACUAGAAGUGUUUCUCCUUAAGGUGGACCUAUGCCAAUUGAAGAUGAAUGAAGAACUUUACCCGGUUGGUCUGCCCUGCCCUCUCACUACACUAAAAGGAGCUGCAAAGUGCAGAGGUGGGGGUUUGAUGAAAAAGCUAAAGAGGCCACAUGGAGAAUCUUAAGAUAGCCACAUGUGGAUCCUUGAAGAGGAAAACAGCCGUUGAAGCCUCAUGUAACUGCUUCAACCGCACGCAGAGGCCAUUUUGUCACAGGUUCCUACCCGACUAUGGAAGUUGCUGCCUUUUCUCCAACAAAGGUGCUUGCCCAGGUACCUAGAGUUAAGAGAUGCUGCAUCUACUUACAACAAAGGGCUGCCUUUGGAAGGAACCUUCUAGAAGCGAGGUGACCUGGGUAUGUUAAACUUCAAAACAACCUGUGUAAAAUUACUUGGAGUGUGGAAGGAUGAUUCACAACCACAAGGACUUACAGUCUCUGGUCAUCUUGGUAAAACUUUGCAAAUUUGCCUUUGACUCCCUGUUGGCCCGCUACGACACUGAGAACCCUGGAACUAGCUUUCAGGUGUAAAGUGAUCUUCGGUUCCCUGAAGGAGGGUUCAGAUUGGACUGUUUUACCAUGUCUAUGACUGAAAAA
Long non-coding RNA from Etheostoma cragini (Arkansas darter), 1045 nucleotides. RefSeq lists it as uncharacterized. NCBI's taxonomy places the organism in Eukaryota, Metazoa, Chordata, Actinopteri, Perciformes, Percidae. The record is from RefSeq and is a predicted model, not a curated record. The transcript is spliced from 10 exons.